Molecule: small nucleolar RNA, 205 nt
Organism: Phyllopteryx taeniolatus (common seadragon)
Lineage: Eukaryota; Metazoa; Chordata; Actinopteri; Syngnathiformes; Syngnathidae
Product: small nucleolar RNA U3
Exons: 1
Source: RefSeq, a predicted model, not a curated record
AAGACUAUAAGAGAUCAUUUCUAUAGUUCUUGAGAAAUGUGUUUCUGAGGUGUAUGGUCCUGCAAACUACAAUGAUGAGAGGAGAUAUUCCUUCCUGAGUGUGAAGCUGGCAGAAAAUAAUGAUUUUAUUGUAUCUUUUCUGUCACUGAUGAAUGUUUGCUGCUUUGUAAUGGAGCAUUGAUGGAAGGGGUAUGUUCAGAGUGGU